Molecule: ribosomal RNA, 500 nt
Filed under: uncultured bacterium
Lineage: Bacteria
Description: partial 16S ribosomal RNA
Rfam family: Bacterial small subunit ribosomal RNA
Source: RNAcentral
AUUGAACGCUGGCGGCAUGCUUUACACAUGCAAGUCGAACGGUAACAGGGUGCUUGCACCGCUGACGAGUGGCGAACGGGUGAGUAAUGCGUCGGAACGUGCCGAGUAGUGGGGGAUAACGCAGCGAAAGUUGUGCUAAUACCGCAUACGUACUGAGGUAGAAAGUGGGGGACCCUCGGGCCUCACGCUAUUCGAGCGGCCGCCGUCUGAUUAGCUAGUAGGUGAGGUAAAGGCUCACCUAGGCGACGAUCAGUAGCGGGUCUGAGAGGAUGAUCCGCCACACUGGGACUGAGACACGGCCCAGACUCCUACGGGAGGCAGCAGUGGGGAAUUUUGGACAAUGGGCGAAAGCCUGAUCCAGCCAUGCCGCGUGUCUGAAGAAGGCCUUCGGGUUGUAAAGGACUUUUGUCAGGGAGGAAAUCCCUAGUGCUAAUAACACUGGGGGAUGACAGUACCUGAAGAAUAAGCACCGGCUAACUACGUGCCAGCAGCCGCCGUAA